CAAAGGUUUGGUCCUAGCCUUACCAUUAAUUUUAACUACACUUACACAUGCAAGUAUCAGCACACCCGUGAAAAUGCCCUCUACAACCAAUAAGUGAAUGAGGAGCGGAUAUCAGGCACCACUUUUGCCAAAGACAUCUUGUUAAGCCACGCCCCCAAGGGAACUCAGCAGUGAUAAACAUUGAAAAAUAAGCGAAACAAGCUUGAACCAGUGAUAGUAAUCAGAGCCGGUAAAUCUCGUGCCAGCCACCGCGGUUAUACGAGAGACUCAAGUUAAUAAAAUCGGCCCAAAGGGUGGUUAAAGACUACAACAAAUAGAACUAAAAACUAACUCUGCUGUCGUACGCAAUAGUUAUAAACAAACACAACAUCGAAAGAAAUUCUACAAAAUAAACUUGAACCCACGACAGUUAGGACACAAACUGGGAUUAGAUACCCCACUAUGCCUAACCGUAAACUUUGACCAAUCCGCCAGAGUACUACGAGCAACAGCUUAAAACUCAAAGGACUUGGCGGUGCUCUACACCCACCUAGAGGAGCCUGUUCUAUAAUCGAUAAUCCCCGAUAAACCUCACCAUCUGUUGCCAAUACAGCCUAUAUACCACCGUCCAGCCCGCCCUUUAAAGGAUAAACAGCAGGCACAAUUAUAAACAUAAAAACGUCAGGUCAAGGUGUAGCACAUAAGAUGGGAAGAAAUGGGCUACAUUUUCUAACCUAGAAAAACACGAAAGAGUUUAUGAAACAAAACUCCAAAGGAGGAUUUAGCAGUAAAAAGAAAAAAGAGCGUUCUUUUUAAGCCGGCAAUGGAGCGCGCACACACCGCCCGUCACCCUCUCCAAACAACAUAAAAAAAUACAUAAACCCUAAAAUAAAAAAGAAGAGGCAAGUCGUAACAUGGUAAGUCUACCGGAAGGUGAACUUGGAACAUC
This 928-nucleotide non-coding RNA is filed under the name Tylototriton broadoridgus. RNAcentral's name for it is "12S ribosomal RNA". It matches the Rfam family "Bacterial small subunit ribosomal RNA". The record is from RNAcentral. Lineage: Eukaryota; Metazoa; Chordata; Amphibia; Caudata; Salamandridae.